AUUGAACGCUGGCGGCGUGCUUAACACAUGCAAGUCGAUCGGUAACAGGUGCAGCAAUACAUGCUGACGAGAGGCGGACGGGUGAGUAAUGCUUGGGAAUCUGCCUAUUAGUGGGGGACAACCCGGGGAAACUCGGGCUAAUACCGCAUACGCUCUACGGAGGAAAGCCGGGGACCGCAAGGCCUGGCGCUAAUAGAUGAGCCCAAGUCGGAUUAGCUAGUUGGUAGGGAACGGCCUACCAAGGCGACAAUCCGUAGCUGGUCUGAGAGGACGACCAGCCACACCGGAACUGAGACACGGUCCGGACUCCUACGGGAGGCAGCAGUGGGGAAUAUUGGACAAUGGGGGCAACCCUGAUCCAGCGACGCCGCGUGGGUGAAGAAGGCCUGCGGGUUGUAAACCUCUUUCGACAGUGACGAAGCUUUUGGGUGACGGUAGCUGUAGAAGAAGCACCGGCCAACUACGUGCCAGCAGCCGCU
This 479-nucleotide ribosomal RNA is filed under the name uncultured bacterium. RNAcentral describes it as "bacterial SSU rRNA". It matches the Rfam family "Bacterial small subunit ribosomal RNA", at positions 29 to 519 of the family's 1533-position model. The record is from RNAcentral.